AGUGAACGCUGGCGGCAGGCCUAACACAUGCAAGUCGAACGGCAGCACAGUAAUAGCUUGCUCUUACGGGUGGCGAGUGGCGGACGGGUGAGGAAUACAUCGGAAUCUACUUUUUCGUGGGGGAUAACGUAGGGAAACUUACGCUAAUACCGCAUACGACCUACGGGUGAAAGCAGGGGAUCUUCGGACCUUGCGCGAUUGAAUGAGCCGAUGUCGGAUUAGCUAGUUGGCGGGGUAAAGGCCCACCAAGGCGACGAUCCGUAGCUGGACUGUGAGGAUGAUCAGCCACACUGGAACUGCGACACGGUCCAGACUCCUACGGGAGGCAGCAGCGGGGAAUAUUGGACAAUGGGCGAAAGUCUGAUCCAGCCAUACCGCGUGGGUGAAGAAGGCCUUCGGGUUGUAAAGCCCUUUUGUUGGGAAAGAAAAGCAGCAGGUUAAUACCCCGCUGUUCUGACGGUACCCAAAGAAUAAGCACCGGCUAACUUCGUG
This 492-nucleotide ribosomal RNA is filed under the name uncultured bacterium. RNAcentral describes it as "partial 16S ribosomal RNA". It matches the Rfam family "Bacterial small subunit ribosomal RNA", at positions 29 to 507 of the family's 1533-position model. The record is from RNAcentral.